GGAAUAUUUGCGGCUGUUGGCGAUGAUGGUCCUGGGAGCAGGAAGCAAGGACAGGGAGAGCCAGGUGCCAAGCACCCCAGGAGGGCACCAGGGGGCAGGAGGUACCUACAGGGUUCGGAAGUUCUCCUUGCCCAGCAUCCUGUACUCCUGGCAGACUUUCUCCCGGACAUAAGCUCUACCUGAAAGUGCAGGAAAAGGAGGAAUUGAUUUGGUGGUCCAUGGCAAAGAUGUUGGCACAGCCGGUGUGGGAGAAGCAUCCCUGGUAUCCAGCUCUGCAGUCAGGAACAGGGACAAG
Long non-coding RNA from Malurus melanocephalus (red-backed fairy wren), 295 nucleotides. RefSeq lists it as uncharacterized. The record is from RefSeq and is a predicted model, not a curated record. The transcript is spliced from 3 exons. Lineage: Eukaryota; Metazoa; Chordata; Aves; Passeriformes; Maluridae.